CCCGAGCGCAGCGGCCGCAGGUCUCGGAGUCCUGGAAGAGACACGUGUCCGUCAGCUGAAGAACCGAGACCGGAACCAGCACAUGUUCCAGGACCUGAUCUGCUUCUACACUCGGCUGCUGGAAAAAAACAGUCUGGCCAAAGGAAUAAUAAGCAGCUGCACCAGACGUCCCUCUGACAGCAGCAGCUCCGUCUCUUCUCUGCUCCAGCAGAACGACCAGUUGAAGAAAACCACAGGAGAGCUGGCGUAUCGG
Long non-coding RNA from Betta splendens (Siamese fighting fish), 253 nucleotides. RefSeq lists it as uncharacterized. Lineage: Eukaryota; Metazoa; Chordata; Actinopteri; Anabantiformes; Osphronemidae. The transcript is spliced from 4 exons. The record is from RefSeq and is a predicted model, not a curated record.